Molecule: ribosomal RNA, 233 nt
Filed under: uncultured bacterium
Lineage: Bacteria
Description: partial 16S ribosomal RNA
Rfam family: Bacterial small subunit ribosomal RNA
Source: RNAcentral
UGAGCGAUCUGCCCUUCUCUUCGGAAUAAGCGUGGGAAACCGCGUCUAAUGCCGAAUACGACCUCCUUUCGCAUGAUCGGAGGUGGAAAGCUCCGGCGGAGAAGGAUGAGCUCGCGGCCUAUCAGCUAGUUGGUGUGGGUAAUGGCCCACCAAGGCGACGACGGGUAGCCGGCCUGAGAGGGUGACCGGCCACACUGGGACUGAGACACGGCCCAGACUCCUACGGGAGGNAG